ACGAACGCUGGCGGCAGGCUUAACACAUGCAAGUCGAGCGAACCCUUCGGGGUUAGCGGCGGACGGGUGAGUAACGCGUGGGAACGUGCCCUUUUCUACGGAAUAGCCUCGGGAAACUGAGAGUAAUACCGUAUACGCCCUUUUGGGGAAAGAUUUAUCGGAGAAGGAUCGGCCCGCGUUGGAUUAGGUAGUUGGUGGGGUAAUGGCCUACCAAGCCGACGAUCCAUAGCUGGUUUGAGAGGAUGAUCAGCCACACUGGGACUGAGACACGGCCCAGACUCCUACGGGAGGCAGCAGUGGGGAAUCUUAGACAAUGGGGGCAACCCUGAUCUAGCCAUGCCGCGUGAGUGAUGAAGGCCUUAGGGUCGUAAAGCUCUUUCAGCUGGGAAGAUAAUGACGGUACCAGCAGAAGAAGCCCCGGCUAACUCCGU
This 431-nucleotide ribosomal RNA is filed under the name uncultured bacterium. RNAcentral describes it as "bacterial SSU rRNA". It matches the Rfam family "Bacterial small subunit ribosomal RNA", at positions 29 to 506 of the family's 1533-position model. The record is from RNAcentral.